GAUCCUGUGGGAAGGGGAGAGAGAGGACAGAUGAGAACGGAAUCGCAGAGAUCUUGGAUCUGGAAGAGAUCUCAGAGAGUCAUAUCUAUUUACAGAGGAGCCAUUUUUGUCAACUUGAUACAAACUAGAGUCACUCAGGAAAAAGAGGGAUCUUGAACUGAAUUACUGCCUCCAUCCGAUCGGCCUGUGGGCAUGUCUGUGGGUCAUUUUCAUAAUGAUUGAUGUGGGAGGGCCCAGUCCACGGUGGGCACUGUCACCCCUGGCAGGAGGUCCAGGGUUGUCUAAAACAAAUAACAAGCUCCGGGCAAGCCAACAAGCAGCCUUCCUCCAUGGUCUCUACUUGAGUUCCUGCCUCCAGGUUCCUGCCUCGAUCUCCUGCCCUGGCUUCCCAUGAGGAUGGACAGUCAAGUGUUAAGAUGAAGUAAAUCUCUCCUUCCCGAGUUGCAUUUGCUCGUGGUGGUCACCGCAGCAACAGUAAAGUAAUACAUUAACAGAAAUCUCCAGCACGUAGCCCCAGGAAGAGAGUGGAGUCCCCUGGCUGCCACGUAGACGAGGGAGUGGACCUUGGAAUCUGCCAGCUACACUCAUCACCACUUUGGGUGACUCAGUGGUCUUCAGGUACGGGAUGGGAACAGUGACAUCACACAUCCUAUGGUGAUGUGCAGGCUCCUGAUGGGAUGUUGGAAUUGCUGGGACUGUGCCGGGAUGUCUGUAACACUUAAAAAAAACCAACAACAACAAAAACCCAAAAAUAAAACAGCCCUGGAGUCCUGAGAGGCAGAGCCUACCGCUGAAGAACAGUCAUACCUGCCUUGGCCACAGCAGCUCAGAUGAAUUCUCUAAACACCAGCUUGACCUCAGAGGAAAAUGACUUUUCUUUCACUUAAUGGAAUAAAAGCCAAUAAAACAUCAAAUUUUCAUCAAACGCCUCUGCAUAACCAGGCGGUGGACACGGCAAUCCAUCUUGAGUCAUUCCUUAUGCUAAAGUAUUGAGGAGCGCCGGCAUGAAAACUGGAGAUGGAGAUAAUGCCUGAAGACAGCACGUCCUUCUCUCCUAAAAACCCAUAGGGAGAGUGCGGAGUGGCUUUCUUCCCAUGCCCAAGUGUGCCUGGCAUGCUUGGCCCGACCAGCAGAGGGCGCUUCCCCCUGCUCGCGGCUGAGGUGGCCUUCUCCUGCCCUCUUGGGAACUGCUCCCUAUGCAUCCACAAAGUUUGAGAACAAGUACGUUGAUUAAUAAGAAUGAUAAAGUGCAGCAACCUAGAGGAACAAGUAGAUUACAAUUGAAUUAAAAAAAUAAAAAGGACAUAGUCCUGUGAAAAGACAUAACUGAUUACAAUCCAAUCAAGUGAAAGUCCCUUGCAGAAGUCAAUGCAAUCUUUCUGCUUAGAUGAAAGAAUUACAUUAGCACUCAAUAAAUUCCUGUGAAAAUUACAGCAGCCUGUAAUUUAAUGACUUAAUAUAUUAUAACAGCCUGCAAAAUCCUGAUUAUAGUUCCUAAAUAAAAGUUGGAGUUGGAGGCAUUUCUCAGGCAGGAGGUUGUACCCACCAGGCUCAGGCCUCUGGUGUUGUGUUAACGCCUGGAGGAGUCGGGGUACCAGGAGACUAAGCUGCCCUCGCUUGCUGCCCCCUGAACUCACAGCCCAUCACUUGGCUCUUUGGAGCUGAGUUUCUUUGUGGAACUGAACUGUUUUCUUGGUAGCCCCUGCUCCUCCCAGGCUGCUGGGACAACUCUUGGAGAAGGGUGUUGUGCCAGGCACUGGGAUCCAGCAAAGCUGUGCUUCAGGGGAGGCUUUGGCCUGACUCAAGCAGGAUAAUCUGCCCUCCUGGGCCACCUCAGUUCCUGCUAGCCUAGCCAGCACUGCCAGGGUCCUGCCACCCUGCUAACACCCCCAAGGCAAGAGCCAGAUAACUGGGGCUGUCUGAGGCUCCCACAGCUGCUAUCUAGUUAGCCUCACUGUCCUGUUCUGUGGAUCACUUUUGACGGCUCUGGGCAAUCUCGGCUCCUGCUGUUGGACUUGCUAGACACCCCAGUGGGGUCAGAAACACAAUGCCAGGCUGUCUUUGUGACCACAGAGGCUCGCCCAGUGAUGGGCUAGCUAAGGGGAUAAUGGGAAGAAGAUCCUGGAAACAAGACAAGUGUAGGGUGCAGCCAAACCAAAUGCUCUAGAGUUCUGGGCCACUUUGCGAGUGACAUUGGGCAAGUCCCUUCACCUCUGUGGUCCCUCCUUUCCUCAUUUAUAAUAUGGGAGUGUAAAGUUUAAUCCCGAAACGUCCCCCACAGGCUUAUAUGGUCUGGAUGUUUGUUUCCCAACUGAUGCUGUUUUGGGAGGGUGUGGAGUGUUUCAGGGGUGGGAAGCAGGUCAUUAGGGAUGAUGGGCCUUGAAGGGUUUACUUGUCCCUGGUUCUUGCCUCUCUCUCUGUUUUCAGACCUGCUGCUAUGAGGUCCUCCCUGCCUUCUCCAUGAUGAUGGACUGAGACCCUUUGAAACCAUGAGUCAAAAUGAGUGUUCUCUUCCCUUCCUGUUUCUGGCCCGUAGUUUGUCAGAACAUAAAAUUAACUGAUGAGAAAUGGGCUACCAGUAUUCUGGCUCAGUUUGUCUAUGCUUUAAAUUUUUUAGUUUUAAUCAUUAAAUAAUAUAUGAAGGCAUUCUUUCUUUUACUUUUUUUUUUUUUUUUUGAGUUAGGGGUUCCUGUGUCCCUAUACUGCAG
Peromyscus maniculatus bairdii (prairie deer mouse) is the source of this 2708-nucleotide non-coding RNA. NCBI's taxonomy places the organism in Eukaryota, Metazoa, Chordata, Mammalia, Rodentia, Cricetidae. The record is from RefSeq and is a predicted model, not a curated record.